RNAcentral lists this ribosomal RNA (254 nucleotides) under uncultured bacterium. RNAcentral describes it as "partial 16S ribosomal RNA". It matches the Rfam family "Bacterial small subunit ribosomal RNA", at positions 524 to 776 of the family's 1533-position model. The record is from RNAcentral.
GACGAACCGUGCGAGCGUUAUUCGGAAUCACUGGGCUUAAAGCGCGUGUAGGUGGGACGGCACGUCGGUCGUUGAAAUCCCCCGGCUCAACCGGGGAAGGGGCGCCGAUACGACCGUCCUGGAGGGACGUAGGGGGACCUGGAACUUCCGGUGGAGCGGUGAAAUGCGUUGAGAUCGGAAGGAACGCCCGUGGCGAAAGCGAGGUCCUGGACGUUUUCUGACACUGAGACGCGAAAGCCAGGGGAGCGAACGGG